AGGCAACCUCCUCAACAGGCCAUGGCAACAAGGCCACUUCACCAUCCCUGCAGUGAUUCCUCAGUAAUUCACCACCAGAAGCACCAUCACCUUCCUUCUGUGUCCCUCCACAAAGCCAGUUGGGACUUCUAGAUAUUUUUGAAGGCAUAUUGAACUAGAUGGUGUUCUAGGGUACUAAUUUCAAGCUGUUGUUCUCCUAACCAUGCCACCAUAGCAGCAAUUUUAUUCUGAUGCAUAGAUUUGUAUAGAGAGGGUAAGAAAUUAUUCCAUGAAGUGAUCCCUUCUCAGAAUUUUAAAUAAGAAAUGGAAAAACUUUCUGUACUCUCAGAGUUUUCAUAAUUUCCCCUGGGGUAGGAGGGCAGGUGCAGAAGGGAACGGAACAAAGAUAAAGAAACAGCCACGUGGACGUGUGGUGGAAGAUCGUUUGAAGGAGGAGAAGAGCAAGUCAAAGGCCCUGAGGCAAGAGCACACUGGGCAUGUUCAAGACAAACAACAACAAAGCAAACAAGCAAGCAAAAAAACUCUAAAGCAAAGGAGAUCCAAAAGGAAAAUUCCAAAUGCCUUGGCAUCUGGGUAGGGCAAUAUUUUGCAGCAAGAAGUCUCUAUCAUCUCUGAGUCACCAUUCAUAGGAAACAGCUCAGCCCCUUCGGGGAUUCUGGGAGUUGGAAGAGGCCAACUUUUCCUACCUGCAGUUUGAAGAUUAAGGACUUAGAGAUUUGUUGAGAGGCUGCUUCCGAGAGGUUACUGAUACACUGAGGACAGGAACUACUGACUACUCUGAAUGAGGGAAAAACAUCCAGUUUGGGGUGAUCCUGUUUUGCAAUGGCAGCUGUCAGCCAUAACAUGGUGGGAAAUAACGGUAAAUAAACCUCCUGUGAUUGGCAAGAAUAUAAAAAAA
Long non-coding RNA from Homo sapiens (human), 898 nucleotides. Lineage: Eukaryota; Metazoa; Chordata; Mammalia; Primates; Hominidae. The record is from Ensembl.